Molecule: transfer RNA, 100 nt
Filed under: Aureobasidium subglaciale EXF-2481
Lineage: Eukaryota; Fungi; Ascomycota; Dothideomycetes; Dothideales; Saccotheciaceae
Rfam family: tRNA
About the family: Transfer RNA (tRNA) molecules are approximately 80 nucleotides in length. Their secondary structure includes four short double-helical elements and three loops (D, anti-codon, and T loops).
Source: Rfam by way of RNAcentral
GGCGCUUUGGCGGAGUGGUUAACGCGAUGCCCUGCUAUUGUCUAACGGCAAAGCCUAGGCAUUUCCUUCGGGAGCGUGUGUUCGAAUCACACAGGCGUCG